AUGGAUCGGGGGCAGCAGCAGCAGGGCGUCAGCCUGCAGCCGCACCGAUUCGACCACCCCCGGAUGCAGUACCCGCAGCACGGCGGCGGCCGCAGCCGCGUGCCGCCCUUCGCGCGCGGCGGCCGCGGCCAGAAGCACUUCUACCGGCAGCCGCCGCCGCCGCCGCCGUCCAUUCAAGCGGGCGCGCCCGCGCGGCACAGGUACGAGGUGCUCAUGGAGGCCGGCCGCCUCGCCGCCGAGUACCUGGUGGCCAAAGGCGUGCUCCCGGCGGCAUCGCUGCAGCGGGGCGGUGGAGCUGGGUGGGGUCAGAUGCCGCCCGCGCCUCCGUUGCCGCAGGCUCAGGAAGCCCCCGCGUUCUACGACUCCCGCCGGAAUGGCCGACAGCGUCUUGAUGAUGACUACGGUAAUCCCAACCCCCGGUCACGCCGGAACCAUGGUGGUGAUUACAUUGGCGGUGACAAUGGUAACUACAAUGGGAGGGGGAAGAGGAAGUUUGGGGCUUACAACAGGAAUUCAGAGUGGGGCCGGGACAGGGAGAGGAGUAGGGAUUAUUUAGAUAGCCGGAAUUAUGGUGAUGAUGAUGAGGAAGAUAGGGCUCCUGGGUAUAGGAGGGACCGGCGAGCAAGUGCUGGGAUUGAUGAGGUUGGGAGUAGUGUCUCGGGCGUGGCUGGGGAGAGACCGACAUCAAAGGUGGAGGCUGUGGGGGAGUCGGAGUUGGAGGAUACUGGCUCAAAGGUGAGCUCUAACAGUAAUGUCAGGAAGGAUGUUGAUGCCGUGCAAGAGGUGCAAAAUGAGAAUGAAGCUAAUAAGAUGGAGGAGGAUAGUAAGGUGUCUGAUUUAGAGGUCGUUGAGAAAGGGAUCAACAGUGAGAGUAUUCAUAAUAAUGCUUCUUCUGGUGUUGUUGAGGAGGGGGAGAUAAAUCAUUCGCCAAUGCCCUCAGAUGACAAGCCUGAUGAUGGUAGUAUUAUGGAUGAGAAGGCUGAACAUGACAAGAGUUUAGAUGACAAGGCUGAAGAUGAGAAGGGAUCAAGCGUUGAAAAUAAUUUGCAUGGUGGUUGUCAGAAUUUGCUGAGCAAUUGUAAUUUUGCAAGAGCCCCAACAAGACCACGAUCAAUACCUGCUCAUAGGAAUGGACCAUCAACCCAUAGAGAUACUGCAUUGGCCAAACAGGUAGAUCUGGCUCCUCUGAUGGUGAUUGAUGGAGCAGCAAAUGACAGCCCCUUGACUAAUGUCCAGGGAGACAAUAAAGAUGACCUUGUCUGCCUAGAACAUACUGACCCAAGUCUUGCUUGCAAUCAAAUGGUGGAACACGUGAGACUCCAAGAAGAAGAAGCACAAACUGAGAUACAAGAUGUGCAAGAACAGAACAGUACUGCACAACAUUACACAGUUCAGGAAAUUAAGGAGUGUGAUGGACUGAAUCCUACACUGGCUUCUCAGGCUCAGCACGAUUGUUCAAAGCUUCAAAUCAGGGAAGAAGUGCAAAUUUACAAUAUCGAUACACCACCACAACAUGAAGACUUGAUUGAUUCAGCUGAUAAAGGGAAAACAACAGAUAGUGUGGAAUUAUUACCUCAUAUCAAAGAAGAAGCUGUUGUCACGAUAAAAGGGGAAGAACUUGGACAAUCUAGCUCAUUUAAAAUAUGUGAUCUCAACCUCAUUGGUAGUCCAGAGCUUGCUGAUAUACGAAAUGAUCCUGGUUUCGGCCAGUGCUCCAAUGUUGUAUGUUCAAUAGAGGCGCAAAAUCAGCAGCAUUUUGAUUUUGGAACAACUGUGGGUAACAAUGCUAGUAAUACUGACAGAUUUGCCCAAAUUCCGUUAAACGAUAAGGUUAUUCAAAUAAUUGAUAUUGAAGAUGACCCUCCAAUUGAACCUAGUGUGUCUGAUACUUUAAGACCAAAAAGUGAGAUGGUAUAUCCAAGCAUGGAUAAUAUGAUGGGCUCUAGUGUGAACACAAACAUUUUCCCUGGCACGCAAGAUGGUUAUAACAUCGCAAUUCCAGAUUUCCUUGGUGCUGAUAUGCCAUGCUACCCACCAUUACAUGCAGACCUUCAUGCCGAGAUGGGCCUAAAUGAUCCAGAGGUCAUUACUGUCAUGGAUGAUCCAAUAUAUGAUUCUCUAGGUGAUAUUGGUUUUAUGGAGGUUUGGGACCAGCAGCCUCCGGACUACAAAUUCUUCUGA
This 2181-nucleotide ribosomal RNA is filed under the name Triticum aestivum (bread wheat). Its description in RNAcentral is "partial small subunit ribosomal RNA". The record is from RNAcentral. Lineage: Eukaryota; Viridiplantae; Streptophyta; Magnoliopsida; Poales; Poaceae.